RNAcentral lists this ribosomal RNA (440 nucleotides) under uncultured bacterium. Its description in RNAcentral is "partial 16S ribosomal RNA". It matches the Rfam family "Bacterial small subunit ribosomal RNA", at positions 338 to 795 of the family's 1533-position model. The record is from RNAcentral.
CCUACGGGAGGCAGCAGUGGGGAAUAUUGCACAAUGGGGGAAACCCUGAUGCAGCGACGCCGCGUGAGUGAAGAAGUACUUCGUUAUGUAAAGCUCUAUCAGCAGGGAAGAAAAUGACGGUACCUGAGUAAGAAGCCCCGGCUAACUACGUGCCAGCAGCCGCGGUAAUACGUAGGGGGCAAGCGUUAUCCGGAUUUACUGGGUGUAAAGGGAGCGUAGACGGCAGGGCAAGUCUGGAGUGAAAGGCGGGGGCUCAACCCCCGGACUGCUCUGGAAACUGUACGGCUGGAGUGCAGGAGAGGUAAGUGGAAGUCCUAGUGUAGCGGUGAAAUGCGGAGAUAUUAGGAGGAACACCAGUGGCGAAGGCGGCUUACUGGACUGUAACUGACGUUGAGGCUCGAAAGCGUGGGGAGCAAACAGGAUUAGAUACCCCGGUAGUC